Molecule: ribosomal RNA, 560 nt
Filed under: uncultured bacterium
Lineage: Bacteria
Description: partial 16S ribosomal RNA
Rfam family: Bacterial small subunit ribosomal RNA
Source: RNAcentral
UGGGGAAUCUUGCGCAAUGGGCGAAAGCCUGACGCAGCCAUGCCGCGUGAAUGAUGAAGGUCUUAGGAUUGUAAAAUUCUUUCACCGGGGACGAUAAUGACGGUACCCGGAGAAGAAGCCCCGGCUAACUUCGUGCCAGCAGCCGCGGUAAUACGAAGGGGGCUAGCGUUGCUCGGAAUUACUGGGCGUAAAGGGAGCGUAGGCGGACAUUUAAGUCAGGGGUGAAAUCCCGGGGCUCAACCUCGGAAUUGCCUUUGAUACUGGGUGUCUUGAGUGUGAGAGAGGUAUGUGGAACUCCGAGUGUAGAGGUGAAAUUCGUAGAUAUUCGGAAGAACACCAGUGGCGAAGGCGACAUACUGGCUCAUUACUGACGCUGAGGCUCAAAGCGUGGGGAGCAAACAGGAUUAGAUACCCUGGUAGUCCACGCCGUAAACGAUGAUUGCUAGUUGUCGGGAUGCAUGCAUUUCGGUGACGCAGCUAACGCAUUAAGCAAUCCGCCUGGGGAGUACGGUCGCAAGAUUAAAACUCAAAGGAAUUGACGGGGUCAUAGCUGUUUCCUG